AUUUUAUCAUCCCAGUGACAUUAAUUUGCUAGAUCCGCCCCUCUCUGAAAGACUCCUGACAAGAGGACUGCACGGCAAGCUCCUGCGCUCUCUGCCUCACCAUCGAGUUUCUCAGAUAUUUUGAUGUUGGCUCAGAAGUGCCUUUCUUCUGCUGUUUUUGUUUCUCAGCAUGAACUUUAUGGUCCCCAGAGGUAGAUUCAGAGUUUAAAGGAACUGGUUUUUCAUUACUGUAAACUGCUUUAGGAACCCUGAUGAAGCACUCUCUCCAUCAGAUGCAUUUGUUACACGCCAGCUUGAAGGUAUCUUACGUCCAGUGGAAAUACCUGAUCUUGCAUAAACCUGUCCUGGACACGUCUGCCUCCACCAAGGCUACAGGCAGUGCCUGCUAAGAGUGUCGUAUUUGGUGAAACAACUGGAGAGGAGGUGAUGACUGCUACUCUUUGAGCAAGGAAAGCAUCUUCCUUCCUGUAUCCCCCGAUUCAGAUGUGUGAUGGUGCUCCCUCCUUUGGUGCACAGCAUUGUCACC
RNAcentral lists this long non-coding RNA (526 nucleotides) under Gallus gallus (chicken). RNAcentral's name for it is "lncRNA (ENSGALG00010019787.1)". Lineage: Eukaryota; Metazoa; Chordata; Aves; Galliformes; Phasianidae. The record is from RNAcentral.